UACGAAGGGGGCUAGCGUUGUUCGGAAUUACUGGGCGUAAAGGGCGCGUAGGCGGUGUGUCAAGUCAGGCGUGAAAGCCCCGGGCUCAACCUGGGAACCGCGCUUGAGACUGGCACGCUAGAGUUCGGGAGAGGAUGGUGGAAUUCCCAGUGUAGAGGUGAAAUUCGUAGAUAUCGGGAGGAAUACCAGUGGCGAAGGCGGCGACCUGGGCCAAUACUGACGCUGAGGUGCGAAAGCGUGGGGAGCAAACAGG
RNAcentral lists this ribosomal RNA (253 nucleotides) under uncultured bacterium. RNAcentral's name for it is "partial 16S ribosomal RNA". It matches the Rfam family "Bacterial small subunit ribosomal RNA", at positions 524 to 776 of the family's 1533-position model. The record is from RNAcentral.